RNAcentral lists this ribosomal RNA (301 nucleotides) under uncultured bacterium. Its description in RNAcentral is "partial 16S ribosomal RNA". It matches the Rfam family "Bacterial small subunit ribosomal RNA", at positions 509 to 807 of the family's 1533-position model. The record is from RNAcentral.
CAGUCGCCACGGUAAUACGAAAGGUCCAAGCGUUACUCGGAAUUACUGGGCGUAAAGCGCGCGUAGGCGGUCUUGUAUGUCGAUUGUGAAAGCCCCGGGCUCAACCUGGGAACUGCAGUCGAAACUGCAAGACUUGAAUGUUGGAGAGGUUGGGGGAAUACCUAGUGGAGAAGUGAAAUUCGUAGAGAUUAGGUGGAACACCAGAGGCGAAGGCGCCUGACUGGCCAAACAUUGACGCUAAGGCGCGAAAGCGUGGGUAGCAAACAGGAUUAGAUACCCGAGUAGUCCCUGUCUCUUAUAC